AUGUUACUCCCUCCGUCCCAAAUUAUUUGUCACAGAAAUGGAUAUAUCUAUAACUAAAAUACAUUUAGAUACAUCCAUUUCUGCGACAGGUAAUUCUGAACGGAGGGAGUACAAU
Non-coding RNA from Triticum urartu, 115 nucleotides. The record is from Rfam. NCBI's taxonomy places the organism in Eukaryota, Viridiplantae, Streptophyta, Magnoliopsida, Poales, Poaceae.